UGCACUCUGAGAGGCAUUCAGGCCUCCUUCUCCCUCCUUUUUGAAACACAAUCACCUAUAUUCAUGCACACUCUUGUGUUAGGGCUCGAAUGCUAGCAGCAGAUGUGUGAUCAGGUGAUUGGUCUCAGAAAUAAAGCAAUCUGAAUGAGGACAGGACUUCCCAAGAGCGAGUGACGGUGUCGUUCAGGGACGAGCUGUGCCAUGCUGUAGCUUUCCGCUGCCUUAAUAUCCUGCAUGGCGAAGCUGACCAAAUCUCAGGACUCUGCCAUCAAAAUCAAAUGCGUUUACUUUGUUCAAAGAAUCAGAAACUGCAUGAAAAUACCCAGUGGCAGGAGACUGAAGAAAUACCAGAGUAGGACCAUAAGGAGUGUUGCGGUAAAUGUGAAGAAACUGAAACCCCUAUGCACAGCUGGGAAAUGUAAAAUGAGUCAGAUUCCUUGUAGCUUCAUAGGCUCAGAAGAAAUGUGACUGUGAAGGUGAUUGAUCCAGCAGGCACUCCCCAACGUAUCCUGAAUACUAAGUAACCACAGCAGCUGGGAGGCAGAACAAGUCAUUCUGCAAAAUGAGCUGCCUCCUAUCAAAGGGGGAAAGACAAGAGAGGAUCCAAAACUGCCUCAAAGCUUCAUCCGGGGGCUGCUGUUUUUAGGGAGUAUUGAAGUGUGCUGAUGAUUUCCCAAGAUGAGUCAGAACUCCCUACAUCAUCAUCUCAUUCCCCUGAGAACUUGGAGACCGUCUUAGCUGACAGCCUACCUCUUCCUCCACUUCUUCCCUCUCCUUCCACAAAUCUGGAUCAGACCCAAGGAUGUGGAGUACUGUUUGAUUUUUAAGAAUGAUAUCCUGUCCUCUGCUA
Long non-coding RNA from Gorilla gorilla gorilla (western lowland gorilla), 850 nucleotides. RefSeq lists it as uncharacterized. The transcript has 3 exons. Lineage: Eukaryota; Metazoa; Chordata; Mammalia; Primates; Hominidae. The record is from RefSeq and is a predicted model, not a curated record.